AUGUGGCAAUCUUUAAUGUAUGAUGCACACAUGAUAUCAUGUUUAUCCCUAUAUUUUUCUGUUAAAGAGAAAGUGAAAGUAAAAGAGGGAUGUAAAGAGACAGGGAGAGAAAAAGUGAAAAAACACAGAGGUUUGGGACAUGUUAAAAUAUUCAAACAUACUAAUCUUGUAUUUCCCUCUAGCUUCCCUGCCAAGAAGAAUGAUUUUCCAACCACUACUAACCAGCAAACGCAGCAGGCUGCACCUGAAACAUACAAAUAUGACAUCAAAAAAAGAAGUUUGGAGUGUCUGCUCCAUGUUGGAUAAAAAAACUAAAUAAAAUCCUGGGAAAUGUGAAGAAUGCCAAAGAAAUGGAAAAAUGAGGACAGAAAAGAAUACUACUACCUGGUAGGUAUUAUGUGAUGACAUAUAUUUAAUUAAUCAUAUGAAACAGAUAUUCACUAAAUUGUUGCUAUGAGGACAUGUCAGUUCAGAGAGAUUAAGUGAAUGUCCCAAAAUUACUCAUCUUUGACAGGGAUAAUAUUACAACUCCUGGCUGUGUGUCUUUGAAGUCUACUUUUUUCAAAUUGCAAACUAUUUUAAUAAUACAAAGAUGAACUAAGAUCAACUCUUAAGUAAUAUAAAAUAGUAUAAAAUAAGUGUUAAUAUGUGCAGCAAAGUAAAAUAUCAUAAAAUGAGAUCUAUAAGUGGGAUAUGCCCAUAGAUAAAUGCAAUCUAAGAAAAUAUGUUGAAAAAAGAUGUGGUUUGCACUGUAUCAUAACAUAUAGAUAGAAUUAGUGUAGGCAAUAAAGAAUGCAUUAAAAUGUGGUGGUUCCUGAAAAGAGACACAAAAAGACAAACUAAAUAUGAUUUGCUUCAGCAGCACUGAAGUUGUUGGAUUGACAGAAGUUGGAAUUAGACUUCUGAGUUAAUGAGAUAAAAUAGAGAUAGGUAACAGAGACAGCUAAGUGCUUUGUUGAUCUCAGCCCCAGUCAUGGAAAGUAUGAGAUUCUUUGAAAAUUCCUAAACAGGUUAGUUAUUUCAUCGGCAAUAUAAAGAAUAGAUAAGAUCAGAAGAAACUCAAAUGGCAUAUUAGUUGGUAUGCUUUUGCAUUAAUCAAACAUUGACUUGAUAAUGUCCAAAUGCAGAGGGUUGCUGGUAGACAUUACUAUUCAAGCAAUCGAUUGUUCAGUUUCUAAAAGAGUGGUAGAGAAGAUAAUCUGUAAGUCUCAUAAACUUGUAAAGCCUCCUGGUUAUAUUCUUUGUUAUAAUCUUUUUUCAAAAUGUAAGCUGAAAGUUGCAAAACUUCUCCAGUAAUUCUGCCAGUAUUUUUUCACUUGUUAUUCUUCUUCAUACAUAACUAAAACGUGUUCUGCUUUUAUAAAGAUUUUUUUUUUCUUUUCUUUAGGUUUCUGUGCCCAUAGGUCAAGCUGGAAAACAUUUUUCCAUAAAACCACGUGCAAUUUUAUGACACAGGUGAAAGAAUAGCCCAAAUCCACAAGGUACUGUUAUGUCCUACAAAUUCUUUCAGUCAUUACUGACGUGACUUAUACUUAAUACGUGAUUGUCUUACGUUACAUUAUAUUGUAACAUUACAUUACAUUAUACCAUGUAAAGCCCAAUUAAUGUCUUUUUUAUUUGCAUGGUCAGCGGAAUAUAUUAAAGCCUUGAGCAUAUAUGACGUGUGUCAUGGGCUGAAUUUUGUCCCUCCAAAAGUCAUAUGUUGAAGCCCUAACUUCUGGAAUCUCCGAAUAUGACUGUAUUUAGAGAUAAGAACUUUAUAGAGGCAAUUCAAUUAAAAAUAAGACCAUUAGGUUGAACCCUAAUCUAUUCUGACUGGUGUCCUUAUAUUAAGAGGGAAUUUGGAUGUACAAACAGAACCAGGGAUGUGUAGCACCAGAGGAAAGGUCACAUGAGAACACCGCUCUAAGGUGGAUAUCUGCAAACCAUGGAGACAGACUUCAAAAGAAACCGAAAUCUGACAACACCUCUGUCUUGCUCUUCUAGCCUUUAUAAACAGUAAGAACAUAAAUAUUGGUUGUUUAAGCCAUCCAGUUUUUAAUAUUUUGUUAUGGAAGACACAGAAAACUAAUAAAAGGUACAAAAAUACAGUAAAUAAUGCAUGUCACUUGAUAAAAAUCAAGUGAGAAACUUUUAGUACAUAAAUUAGGUAAAUAAAAUGUAAAAUGUUUAUCUUCAGCUUCUAUGUAAACAUGAAAUUACUUUUAACUUCUCUGAAUUCUCAUAUUUCUUCCUUAAUUUAUUCCAGGUUCAGAUAACGAGUGUAUUGUAAACAGUGUCUCAAACUUAAUUUGAUAACUGAAAGUGACUAUACUGAUAAUUUAAUUUCAAAGUUAUGUCUUCAACAUUUAUGUACCACAGAAACAUUUCACAAUAACAUUCUGAAAUUAAUGAAUUUUCCAGAAAAGUGAUUCCAAUCAUUUGAAACUUUUUACUUAUGUACAUGAUAAAUGUAAUGCAAAUAUAAGGCAUUCCACAAAUAUAUCUAAAUAUAUCACAGGAUAUAGCAUGUAAUGUAUUUCUAUAGAUCAAUAGGAAAUUCAUGAAAAUUAAAACCAAGUUUUGUAAAUCACACUGUACCUUUCCAUUGCUUGUGUUAGUAUUUAACUUUUCAAGUAUUUUAAUUGUUUUCCCUAGCCAGUCUAUAAAUUCAAGAAUUACUUCUUGUAUCACCCACAGCAAAAUCAGAAACAUAUAC
Molecule: long non-coding RNA, 2698 nt
Filed under: Macaca mulatta (Rhesus monkey)
Lineage: Eukaryota; Metazoa; Chordata; Mammalia; Primates; Cercopithecidae
Description: lncRNA (ENSMMUG00000053947.1)
Source: RNAcentral